CACCAACACUCUGGAGAGACCGGUUGAAUCCGGCGCCGAAGGGGCACGAAGCGCAAGCUUCCAAACUCUCAGGCAAAAGGACAGAGGGGCGCUU
This 94-nucleotide non-coding RNA is filed under the name Dyella jiangningensis. Its description in RNAcentral is "Glycine sequence". It matches the Rfam family "Glycine riboswitch aptamer". From Rfam's summary of the family: This family represents the bacterial glycine riboswitch. Glycine riboswitches usually consist of two metabolite-binding aptamers domains with similar structures in tandem. The record is from RNAcentral. Lineage: Bacteria; Pseudomonadati; Pseudomonadota; Gammaproteobacteria; Lysobacterales; Rhodanobacteraceae.